UACGUAGGGGGCUAGCGUUGUCCGGAAUCAUUGGGCGUAAAGAGCGUGUAGGCGGCCCGGUAAGUCCGCUGUGAAAGUCGGGGGCUCAACCCUCGAAUGCCGGUGGAUACUGUCGGGCUAGAGUGCGGAAGAGGCGAGUGGAAUUCCUGGUGUAGCGGUGAAAUGCGCAGAUAUCAGGAGGAACACCGGUGGCGAAGGCGGCCACCUGGGACGGUAACUGACGCUGAGACGCGAAAGCGUGGGGAGCAAACAGG
RNAcentral lists this ribosomal RNA (254 nucleotides) under uncultured bacterium. RNAcentral's name for it is "partial 16S ribosomal RNA". It matches the Rfam family "Bacterial small subunit ribosomal RNA", at positions 524 to 776 of the family's 1533-position model. The record is from RNAcentral.